AGGUUGGAAUGAAAAUUCAAAUGGUGCCUUUCUUCUUUGUCGUCCGUUCACCAAUGGCUCACCGUGCCGGCGUCCUUCGCCGGCGCAGGUAUUGGUUUACGACUAAGCAAUACCACCAAUGGAUGCGCCACUGUAUGCUAAACAGGAAUAUGGAAAUGGAAUUGGGAAACAGUCCCGGAGUUGGUUGAAUCGAGCCUAAUCAUGGAAGAACCCUAACCUUCACAUCUCAAAUUAAAUGGCGCUUGGCCCUAGUUAAUCUCUAAUACCAUGGGGUUUCUACUUCCUAUCCUCAAUGCUACACUCCGGUACGCUCAAAGCAAGAAAACAUCACAGAAGAGAAACAGACUUACCAAGAGAAGACGAUCGGAAAACUUCAGCAGGGUCUGUGUCGUGGAGCGUCGGUACCUGGAACUGCCUGAUUAUUGACGCGAUUUUCAUCCGUUCGUAGGUUCCGUUCCUGGUACACACAUGAGCAACACGGUGUUUGUAUCCUAGCAACAUUGGUUAGGAAGUUGGCGUCCGCCGUAAUCCUGGAAGCAUCAAAUACUUCACGUUUGUUGGUCGCAUACCUUUUCUUGGCAAGAGUUCAGAUCUGAAGCAGCUCAGGGAGCAGUUCUGUGGGCAGCAUAGCAAGGCGUAUUUGCAGCAUUGCCGGUGUUGGCAUUUUGGUCGCGUUGCAGGUUGCACCGUUUACGCGAGUCGGACCUGAUUGUCAUACAUUACAGACUGGUGCAACUUAGUCGUUCUGCAUCAAGAUGAACUAUCAUCAGGAAGACGGAUUUGUUUAUGGUUGAAAAUGCAGGCUGCAUUGUUGAUGCUGGUAUGCCAAAUGUUUUCCAAUUGUUGGUGUAUGGUGGCCGAUUGUGUGACGUAUGCCUUCCCGUAAUGUGUGGUUCACUUGCUGUUGCAGAGUUUGAAGUUAGUGCCUCAUAACAGAUGCUUGGUUCUUUUUUGGUUCAGUUGGUGUUUUAAAGGUGGUUGAAGAUUCUGUUAUGGAAUUCAAUGCGGAUCUAAGUCGAAACUCAUGUUGAAGUUAGUUAGUCAGAGACUCAGACUUUAAUUAGAGCUGAGUCCAAAUGAAAUGAACAAUUCAAUUCACCAUCGCCUCUUGAAAUGCACAUGCUGUUAGUGACAGGUGAACGGUUUUGCGCUUUGUCGGGCAUGUGCAGGUGAAACUUCAGUUGCCGUUAGGAGAUGCAAAUGAAUCUUAUCUGUGAAUUCGGAGUUGAGUUACAACAUCCGGUUUUUCCUUGGCUAGUGGCUUUGUUGCAGAUUUGAUUGUUUGCUGCGUGUGUAGCUUUUAUUUCCUGCAGCUUGUGCUUUACAGCUUUGAUGUCGCGGCUUUUCGGUUAUGGCGUUAGCAGCUUUGGCUUUAAUUCAGAUAUUUGAGACAAACCUUUCAAUUCGUGCACCUUCGGAAGAAGUGCUUCAGUGGGUGCCUUCGGCAGCAAAGUGUGAUAACCAUUUUUCAUUGCCACAACCAUGUUUACGGUAUAGGUAUAGAAUAUACAUCUGUUUAUGCUCCCUAUGUCUCUUUCUUCACAUUCUGGGUCCCAUAUGACUUAAUGUGUAAAUGAGCAGGCUUUGUAGAAUUCUCAUAAUCCAAUCACCAUAUGAAUUAAAGUAUAAAUGAACAGUAAUGCUGGAUUCUUAAAUGAAAGAAAAGAAGAAUGAGCCUAUUAGUAA
Long non-coding RNA from Lathyrus oleraceus (garden pea), 1686 nucleotides. RefSeq lists it as uncharacterized. Lineage: Eukaryota; Viridiplantae; Streptophyta; Magnoliopsida; Fabales; Fabaceae. The transcript has 6 exons. The record is from RefSeq and is a predicted model, not a curated record.